GUAUGAUUGCUCAUAGUGAGACUGCUAAAGUUUGACUGACAUAUAAACAUGGAUCUCAAUGAGUCUUUGUAUUGGAUGUUGGUGACAGUUGAUCCACUGAGGAGUAGGAUAUGCAUCAAGAUGGGAUCUGUUGACUUUGAUAGAGAGGAGUAGUCCUAUAAAAUUUGAGAUGCUAAGUUCGAGAGUCUGUGACAACAGUA
Molecule: long non-coding RNA, 200 nt
Filed under: Elaeis guineensis (African oil palm)
Lineage: Eukaryota; Viridiplantae; Streptophyta; Magnoliopsida; Arecales; Arecaceae
Description: long non-coding RNA (EGUI_LNC055164)
Source: RNAcentral